This 253-nucleotide ribosomal RNA is filed under the name uncultured bacterium. RNAcentral describes it as "partial 16S ribosomal RNA". It matches the Rfam family "Bacterial small subunit ribosomal RNA", at positions 524 to 776 of the family's 1533-position model. The record is from RNAcentral.
UACGUAGGGGGCAAGCGUUGUCCGGAUUUACUGGGCGUAAAGAGCGUGUAGGCGGCCAAACAGGUCCGUUGUGAAAACUGGAGGCUCAACCUCCAGACGUCGACGGAAACCGUAUGGCUAGAGUCCGGAAGAGGAGAGUGGAAUUCCUGGUGUAGCGGUGAAAUGCGCAGAUAUCAGGAAGAACACCAAUGGCGAAAGCAGCUCGCUGGGACGGUACUGACACUGAGACGCGAAAGCGUGGGGAGCAAACAGG